This is a non-coding RNA of Terfezia claveryi, 72 nucleotides long. NCBI's taxonomy places the organism in Eukaryota, Fungi, Ascomycota, Pezizomycetes, Pezizales, Pezizaceae. The record is from the annotation of a GenBank genome assembly.
AGUCCUGUGGUCUAGUGGUAUGAUUUUCGUCUCACACACGAAAGGUCCCGGGUUCGAACCCCGGCGGGACUA